This 450-nucleotide ribosomal RNA is filed under the name uncultured bacterium. Its description in RNAcentral is "partial 16S ribosomal RNA". It matches the Rfam family "Bacterial small subunit ribosomal RNA", at positions 329 to 793 of the family's 1533-position model. The record is from RNAcentral.
UUCCAGACUCCUACGGGAGGCAGCAGUGGGGAAUAUUGGGCAAUGGGCGCAAGCCUGACCCAGCAACGCCGCGUGAAGGAAGAAGGCUUUCGGGUUGUAAACUUCUUUUCUCAGGGACGAAGCAAGUGACGGUACCUGAGGAAUAAGCCACGGCUAACUACGUGCCAGCAGCCGCGGUAAUACGUAGGUGGCAAGCGUUAUCCGGAUUUACUGGGUGUAAAGGGCGUGUAGGCGGGAAAGCAAGUCAGAUGUGAAAUUCCGGGGCUCAACCCCGGACCUGCAUUUGAAACUGUUGGUCUUGAGUAUCGGAGAGGCAGGCGGAAUUCCUAGUGUAGCGGUGAAAUGCGUAGAUAUUAGGAGGAACACCAGUGGCGAAGGCGGCCUGCUGGACGACAACUGACGGUGAGGCGCGAAAGCGUGGGGAGCAAACAGGAUUAGAUACCCCGGUAU